CCUACGGGGGGCAGCAGUGAGGAAUAUUGGUCAAUGGGAGAGAUCCUGAACCAGCCAAGCCGCGUGAGGGAAGACGGCCCUAUGGGUUGUAAACCUCUUUUGUCGGAGAACAAAACCCGGGACGUGUCCCGGACUGCGUGUAUCCGAAGAAAAAGCAUCGGCUAACUCCGUGCCAGCAGCCGCGGUAAUACGGAGGAUGCGAGCGUUAUCCGGAUUUAUUGGGUUUAAAGGGUGCGUAGGCGGUCCGUUAAGUCAGCGGGAAAAUUGCGGGGCUCAACCCCGUCGAGCCGUUGAAACUGGCAGACUUGAGUGGGCGAGAAGUACGCGGAAUGCGCGGUGUAGCGGUGAAAUGCAUAGAUAUCGCGCAGAACGCCGAUUGCGAAGGCAGCGUACCGGCGCCAGACUGACGCUGAGGCACGAAAGCGUGGGGAUCGAACAGGAUUAGAUACCCGAGUAGUC
RNAcentral lists this ribosomal RNA (459 nucleotides) under uncultured bacterium. Its description in RNAcentral is "partial 16S ribosomal RNA". It matches the Rfam family "Bacterial small subunit ribosomal RNA", at positions 338 to 795 of the family's 1533-position model. The record is from RNAcentral.